This 410-nucleotide ribosomal RNA is filed under the name uncultured bacterium. RNAcentral describes it as "bacterial SSU rRNA". It matches the Rfam family "Bacterial small subunit ribosomal RNA", at positions 370 to 772 of the family's 1533-position model. The record is from RNAcentral.
AACGGGGGAAACCCUGACGCAGCAACGCCGCGUGAGUGAUGAAGGCCUUCGGGUCGUAAAGCUCUGUCAGAGGGAAAGAAAUGUGGGCGGCUAAUAUCCGUUCCACUUGACGGUACCCUCAGAGGAAGCACCGGCUAACUCCGUGCCAGCAGCCGCGGUAAUACGGAGGGGGCGAGCGUUGUUCGGAAUUACUGGGCGUAAAGGGCANGUAGGCGGUNUUGUAAGCUUGACGUGAAAGACCACGGCUCAACCGUGGGAUUGCGUUGAGAACUGGGAGGCUUGAGUGACGGAGAGGGAGCUAGAAUUCCUGGUGUAGGGGUGGAAUCUGUAGAGAUCAGGAAGAAUACCAAUGGCGAAGGCAAGCUUCUGGCCGAUGACUGACGCUGAGGUGCGAAAGUGUGGGGAUCAAA